GACGAACGCUGGCGGCGUGCUUAACACAUGCAAGUCGAACGGAAAGGCCCUGCUUUUGUGGGUUGCUCGAGUGGCGAACGGGUGAGUAACACGUGUGUAACCUGCCCUUGACUUUGGGAUAACUUCAGGAAACUGGGGCUAAUAUCGCAUAGGAGCUCCUGCUGCAUGGUGGGGGUUGGAAAGUUUCGGCGGUUGGGGAUGGACUCGCGGCUUAUCAGCUUGUUGGUGGGGUAGUGGCUUACCAAGGCUUUGACGGGUAGCCGGCCUGAGAGGGUGACCGGCCACAUUGGGACUGCGAUACGGCCCAGACUCCUACGGGAGGCAGCAGUGGGGAAUAUUGCACAAUGGGCGGAAGCCUGAUGCAGCAACGCCGCGUGCGGGAUGACGGCCUUCGGGUUGUAAACCGCUUUCGCCGGUGACGAAGCGUGAGUGACGGUAAUGGGUAAAGAAGCACCGGCUAACUACGUG
This 468-nucleotide ribosomal RNA is filed under the name uncultured bacterium. Its description in RNAcentral is "partial 16S ribosomal RNA". It matches the Rfam family "Bacterial small subunit ribosomal RNA", at positions 28 to 507 of the family's 1533-position model. The record is from RNAcentral.